AUACAAUUGCAAAAGAGGUUUUUUUGGUUGAAAGACCAUAAAAUAGAAUAUUAUCCAUCCCUACUAUUGGUCUUUGUUAUGACUUUCACUUAUCAAUCCCAAUUUAAAUGCAAACAUUUUUGGAAGCCUGAUACUUAAGCAUAAUUCUUUUUGCUAAUGGUAUAAGGUUGGUCUCUGCUUAGGGAAUGGCUGGAUCAUUAAUGGUCCUUCUAAAGAAUAAAAUAGCAAAUUGAGAUUGUUAUGCUGUGGGUUACUCCUUCCUUGGACAAAAACUUAUGGAUAAACAAGCUUUAAAUAGUUUGGAUAGAUAGGAUAAGGUGGUGCCUUUUGAGUUCCAUUUCAUUUUUUCUAGGUUGUUUUGGAGGUUGACUUCUGUUGAAGGUGGCCUUUGUUGCAUAAUAAAUGGCCAGUUUGAAGAAGAGUGAGCUAUAUAGGAAAUAGGAAAUGCUAUACAGGAACUAUUUGAACUCAUACGUGUCUCAUUUAUCUAUGGCAAUCAAUCAAGCAUUGCAUGCAUAUAGAAUUCAUAUGGACGUGGAUGUCUCGACUUUUGUGCAUGUCCAACCACACCUUGUGCAACAACUGAAUGGGUAAAAUAUUCAUAUAUUCUAACCAAAACGGACAUUUGAGGUGAAUUUUUUUUUCUUAGAUUUCUAUCAUCUACAUGACAAGCCUAAAUGUGAUGUGUUAUAGGUUCGACUGUGGUAUCCUUGCACUAAAGUUCAUGGAAUUUUGGAAUGGGGCGACCUUAACUACUUCAGUGGCAGAGGACAAGCUGAACAUGUACAGACUCCAGCUAGUUGUGGAACUAUUGCUCAAUGAACGCAACACUGUUAGAGAUAAAAUUAUGGCCUCCUGUCAUUUGUGACUUUAUGGACUUUAUGUACACCAAUGGGCAACGCGUAAGGGAAAGAAAGACUGCAUGGUGAUGCUGUUGCUAUAGCUUACGAGAGGGAGUAAUAUCAGAAUGAGUCAUAUGUUAUCCUUUUUGUUCGGAUUGUAUGAAGCAAACUUGGUUUACCAUAUGAUCAAAAUUAGGGUUGUUCAUUAAUGUGAAAUAUUGUAUAUGAAAGGGAGUAGGAAAGGAGUUGUUCAUUAUUCUGGGGCAUCUUAUGUCAAUGUCAUAGGUAGGU
This is a long non-coding RNA of Vitis riparia (riverbank grape), 1133 nucleotides long. RefSeq lists it as uncharacterized. Lineage: Eukaryota; Viridiplantae; Streptophyta; Magnoliopsida; Vitales; Vitaceae. The record is from RefSeq and is a predicted model, not a curated record. The transcript is spliced from 3 exons.